This 233-nucleotide unclassified non-coding RNA is filed under the name plant metagenome. RNAcentral's name for it is "partial contains small subunit ribosomal RNA and internal transcribed spacer 1". The stretch from base 1 to 46 matches the Rfam family "Eukaryotic small subunit ribosomal RNA", at positions 1786 to 1831 of the family's 1831-position model. The record is from RNAcentral.
AAGUCGUAACAAGGUUUCCGUAGGUGAACCUGCGGAAGGAUCAGUAAAGAGUAAGGGUCUUCAAGGCCCGACCUCCCACCCUUUGUUGUCGAACAAAUUACCGUUGCUUUGGCGGGACCGUCAGGUCCUCCGACCGGCUGCCGGGUCUCGCGACCAGGUAAGCGCCCGCCAGAGACCAACUUAAAACUCUUCGUUAAACAUUCGUCUGAGUAAAAUGAUUAAAUCAAUCAAAA